AAUGCAUAUUUCGUGAUCUCUCAAAUGUUGACUUUCCAUAAGUAGAGUGAUUUGUAUGGUUGAACUUAUCUAUAAUUUGGUUUCCUGUACGGUUGAUCAUGGGCGAAUAGAUCACUUGUAGACCUGUUUAAGGUUUUUUUUCUUAAAUAUCUCUAAGCCUAAAACAGAGCCUAGUAUUUCAGGGGAAAACUGGCUUUAGCUUCCAUUUUUAUGUUUCCAACUGAGUCAGGCCUAUUUUUCUAUUUUAUAAAUUUUUUCUUUCUUUCAUUCUAAAUCCCUUGAAGCUAUUUGUUAAAAUUUACUCAUCCUCCCUUUUCUUUUGCUAAAAUACUUGGUGUGUAACACCCCUCGUCCGACCCGAUCGCAGGGUUCGAGCUACAAAAUGUCACAUUCAUUUCUGGAGGAAUUUCAUUCAAUUAUAUAGUAACAUAAUCAUUUAAAUAUACAAUUAUAAGUUAAACACAUUUGCAUUAUGAUACAUAAUCAAAUUUGAUUCUUCAUUGAAUUUACGAAGGCUCUUUUGUUGACUUGAGCAUAAGAUUGGACCAAAUUGUAAAGUUUCAAAAUUAUAGGACCAAUUUGUAAAGUUCUGAAAUUUCGAGUCCAAUCUGCUUGGAUUUAAAUUUGUGCAAGUGUCUUAAGUAAGUUGAUUUAAUUAUAUGGUUAAGUGUUUUGUAAUUUUGCUUAAGGUCUUGUAUUCGAUUUCUGGUAUUUGCAAGUUGGGAAUAUGUUUGCUUUUUUUUUUUUCAUUUUGUGCUGUCAUUAGUAGUAGAGUUUGGAUAGUGUUUAGAUUCUUGGUGGUUGGUUGUAAUUUUAGUAUAUAGAUAGGUUGGUAAAAUCUAUUUUUUUAUUAUUUGUUUUUUUAAAAUAAAUACAAGAUAAUUCCUUAAUUUAUUUUUUUGGUCAAUACCACUCCCUUGCACAUGUUUCUUACCUUCCCACUACAAUCCAAAUUCUCCCUCUUUGCUAUCACUACUACAUGUGUUCAUUGUUUUUUUUUUUUUUUUUUUUUGUUUUCUUUGCUUUUCAAUUAGCUUUGGGGUUGGUCUUGUUCUUGCGGCAUCUGUCAAAUUAUUUGUUUCUCUUGUUAUUUUCUUUUUCUAUUUUAUUGGUUCUUUUAUCCUGUGGGCAAUUUCUUGUUCAUUGCUUAAGGGCCAUUCGGACGCUGAUCUUGUAUGGUGUCGUUGGAAAAGAACGUGUGGUGAUAGACGAUCCUCCAGCAAAUUAAGUUCUUGGAGGAGUUGCUAUAAGUUGCGGUAAACCUCCGACCUAGGAAUGGAUGGUGACUCGAGAGCUUGGGUUUCAUAAAUUCUUCAAUUAAACACUACGAACUUUUUCAUUUGUUUUGAUCAUGGACAUUUCUGGACUGUUUUGGGUUUUUAUUUUUGGUUGGACAUUUUAAUUUUUGUUUUGUUUAGUUUGUUGGGAAAAUUUUUUAUACUCACUACAUGAAGGUUUUAUUAUUUAAGGAUGCUUAACCUAAGACAAUUAAAAUGAAUCGCGGUUUUAUAUACAAAGAACUAUAAGGUUUUUCGCUGCAAGGCUAAUCAAAUUGUUCCAAAAUGUUUUAGCACGCAAGUAUUUUCAAGUGAAUUGGUUUUGUUUUUAGAUACAAAAUUAAACUAUGAUUUCGAAAAGUCACAAUGUGUUUUAAAAGAGUAAUUCAAUUGAAUUUUCCUUCCGCUAAAGUGGUUAUAAUCAGAUCAAACAUUUGGCUCUUUUUGCAUAAGUGUUAUAACCUCCAGAAUUUGAUCAUAACGUGUAUGCCGAUUGUGGGGUGUUACAGACAAUGCAAGUGGUGGCCUUGAUUUCAAUGGCUUUAGAGGGUGUUUGUGUUGCACUAUCAUUACUAGAUUUAGGGCCGUCAUUAUCAGCAACAUCACCUGUGUUUUUAGGGCUAGGAGAAGGGAGUCAAAAACUUCAUCAGUGGUAGUUGGUGAAGGAGGGGAUGAGACCUUCUCAAGAGACCCAACCUCAGAAGAGUAUUGUUUGUUGGCGCUAGGGUUGUUGCUUUUACUAGGGCUAGGGGAAGAGGAGCUUGAAGUAGAUGGCGACUUCGAAGGUGAAGAUGCCUUGGAAGGGGCUGGUGAAGGUGACGAUUCGACAGCAAAUGGCCCAAUAAGAACCAUGAAAACAAGUGAAGCAACAAAAAUAUGAUGUUGGCAUGCCAUAUUUCACUUUUGCUUUUUAAUAGUUUCUUAUUACUUGUUAUCUUUUUUAUUAAAAGAUUAAUAUAUAUAUACACAAUAUGCGUGUGUAAGAGAAGUGAUUUUCUUAUGAACU
Gossypium raimondii (Peruvian cotton) is the source of this 2283-nucleotide long non-coding RNA. RefSeq lists it as uncharacterized. The transcript has 3 exons. The record is from RefSeq and is a predicted model, not a curated record. Lineage: Eukaryota; Viridiplantae; Streptophyta; Magnoliopsida; Malvales; Malvaceae.